CUUCUGGUGAGCAAUGGACGGUCAUAUGGAGCAACUGCACAAGAAGAUGGAACGUGUUGUCUGAGCUCUUGUGCUCAGACUCUUGAGAAUGGAAACAGCUUGGACUGUUUGGGAUGGGAAGAGAGGAAGACGAACAAUUAGGAAUUCUUGGUUCAAGAACUCUUCGGUUCAGAUAACUGAGAGGU
This is a non-coding RNA of Caenorhabditis elegans, 185 nucleotides long. NCBI's taxonomy places the organism in Eukaryota, Metazoa, Nematoda, Chromadorea, Rhabditida, Rhabditidae. The record is from Ensembl.